AGAGACCUCACAGACAAGGACACGACCAGACAACACCCAACUGAGGAACACCAGAAAGCUGGACCAGGACAAAUUGAGCCUGGCUGUUGGCUGCA
RNAcentral lists this long non-coding RNA (95 nucleotides) under Anas platyrhynchos platyrhynchos (common mallard). Its description in RNAcentral is "lncRNA (ENSAPLG00000028127.1)". Lineage: Eukaryota; Metazoa; Chordata; Aves; Anseriformes; Anatidae. The record is from RNAcentral.